UGGGGAAUUUUGGACAAUGGGCGCAAGCCUGAUCCAGCCAUGCCGCGUGCGGGAAGAAGGCCUUCGGGUUGUAAACCGCUUUUGUCAGGGAAGAAAUCUUCUGAGUUAAUACCUCGGGAGGAUGACGGUACCUGAAGAAUAAGCACCGGCUAACUACGUGCCAGCAGCCGCGGUAAUACGUAGGGUGCAAGCGUUAAUCGGAAUUACUGGGCGUAAAGCGUGCGCAGGCGGUUUUGUAAGACAGAGGUGAAAUCCCCGGGCUCAACCUGGGAACUGCCUUUGUGACUGCAAGGCUUGAGUGCGGCAGAGGGGGGAUGGAAUUCCGCGUGUAGCAGUGAAAUGCGUAGAUAUGCGGAGGAACACCGAUGGCGAAGGCAAUCCCCUGGGCCUGCACUGACGCUCAUGCACGAAAGCGUGGGGAGCAAACAGGAUUAGAUAGCCCUGGUAGUCCACGCCCUAAACGAUGUCAACUGGUUGUUGGGAAGGUUCCUUCUCAGUAACGUAGCUAACGCGUGAAGUUGACCGCCUGGGGAGUACGGCCGCAACGGUUG
Molecule: ribosomal RNA, 551 nt
Filed under: uncultured bacterium
Lineage: Bacteria
Description: partial 16S ribosomal RNA
Rfam family: Bacterial small subunit ribosomal RNA
Source: RNAcentral